RNA transcript from Lynx canadensis (Canada lynx), 4610 nucleotides. It is a transcript of the gene named fucosyltransferase 10, with no coding region annotated. The record is from RefSeq and is a predicted model, not a curated record. Lineage: Eukaryota; Metazoa; Chordata; Mammalia; Carnivora; Felidae. The transcript is spliced from 14 exons.
AGCGAGGGAGAAGCAGAAACUCCCAGGAACCUCUGUGGACUGGCCUUUAAGCCCGGCAACGGCGAAAACCUGGAUGGAGGAUCGCUGGGCCUGCGAGCGCGGAAAGUGAUGCCGCUUUUCCCAAACCUCCUUUCCGAGUCUUCGCCCGAGCCCCGGCUGAGCGCAAACUGAAAGUGGAAAGCGGCCGGGCUGCCAGCCGCCAGCGAGCCUCCUACCCGGGACGAGACUUUUUGGAUGCCUUCUGGUUUGAAGAAAUCUCCAGCUGCUCUGAUGAUAGUUUAAGAAGACUGCAUGCUGUUUCCUCUCGAUGCCAAGCCAGGCCCGCGGGAACCUCGGAUCCCAGCCCUUCAUGGAGACCAGGUCCCAGCAGGAAUGGCAGUGGAAGACGUCGGCACCCAGAUGGUUCCUUCACGUGAAGUUGUCUUGGGCUGUGGGCCGACUCGAGAACACCUGGUAGCCAGGCCGGCCCUCUGUCAGUCACCCAGGGCCGGGCAGCAUGGUGUGGAUUCAGAGGAGGAAGCUUUUGGCAUCUUGCCUCUGCAUCACAGCCUCUGUCUUUCUGCUUGUCACACUCCAGGUAGUGGUUGAGCUGGGGAAACUUGAAAGGAAGAAGUUUAAAAAUUCCAACGGGCAAGAUGGACAUGCAAUGAUGGAGGAGGAGCCUACACACCUCUAUCCACUCCCUGGGAAAGAAGCCCUGAACUGGAAAAACAAAUCAGAGACUGAUAACUACCCCAUCAUGCUCUGGUGGUCCCCACUGACCGGGGAAACUGGAAGGCUAGGCCAGUGCGGAGCGGAUGCGUGUUUCUUCACCAUCAACCGGACCUACCUACAUCAUCACAUGACCAAAGCAUUCCUCUUCUAUGGCACUGACUUUAACAUAGAUAGCUUACCUCUGCCUCGGAAGGCCCAUCACGACUGGGCCCUUUUUCACGAAGAGUCUCCGAAAAAUAAUUACAAGCUCUUUCACAAGCCAGUCAUCACCUUGUUCAACUACACUGCCACGUUCAGCCGACAUUCCCACUUGCCACUGACCACCCAGUACUUGGAGGGCGUAGAAGUCCUGACGUCACUCAGAUACCUGGUCCCUUUGCGGUCCAAGAACAUCCUUCGAAGAAGACUUGCUCCACUGGUGUAUGUCCAGUCAGACUGUGACCCGCCAUCAGACAGGGACAGCUAUGUUCGAGAACUGAUGACUCACGUUGAGGUGGAUUCCUACGGUGAGUGUUUACGAAACAAGGAUCUCCCUCCACAGCUAAAAAAUCCAGCUUCCAUGGAUGCUGAUGGCUUUUAUAGGAUCAUUGCACAGUAUAAGUUUAUCCUUGCCUUCGAGAAUGCGGUGUGUGACGACUACAUCACUGAGAAGUUCUGGAGACCUCUGAAACUGGGGGUGGUCCCUGUGUAUUAUGGGUCCCCCAGCAUUGCUGACUGGCUCCCAAGUAAUAGAAGUGCUAUUCUCGUGUCUGAAUUUGCUCACCCUAGAGAACUGGCAAGUUACAUCAGACAACUGGAUCACGACGACAGACUGUACGAGGCCUACAUAGAAUGGAAGCUGAAGGGUGAGGUCUCGAAUCAGCGACUUCUCACAGCACUCAAGGAACGGAAGUGGGGAGUACAAGACGUCCACCAGGACAACUACAUCGAUGCAUUUGAGUGCAUGGUGUGCAGCAAGGUGUGGGAUAAUAUCCGGCUUCAGGAGAAGGGCUUACCACCCAAAAGAUGGAAGGCAGAAGUUACCCACCUGAGCUGCCCGGAGCCCACAGUGUUUGCUUUCUCACCUCUGGCUCCACGUUGGAGCUCUCUGAGGGAGAUGUGGAUACCAAGCUUUGAACAGUCCAAGAAAGAAGCCCAGGCACUAAGGUGGCUGGUUGAUAGGAAUAAAAAUUUUUCAGCUCAAGAGUUUUGGGCCCUCGUGUUCAAGGACUAAUUUCUACCAGUAUCACAGCGCUAUGGACUAGGGGGUUCUCUUGAGCUUUAUUUUCUAGGUUGCCUUAACACUCGAAUACAGUCGCUACUUUGUUGACUGUCCUUCAGGAUAAGGAUUAAUUGCUGUAGUUCUCAUAAUGAGCCCUCUCAGCUAACGGAUAUGAAUUACCCUUAGGGGUCACCUCUGUAUUUUUUAUACUAAAAAAGUGAAUAUGUCGUAUGGACACUGGUCACCUUCAGUUUCCACGUCUGGACGGAUGUACCUGCUGCCUUUUGUGGACGUCCAGCUAAUGCGGAAGGAGACAUUUCAUCUGUCAACCUUGGGUGAUUUCUGGCAAGAAUAAGAACUCUGACUUAGGGAUUAGCAAUGAAGACGGCGGGCCCACUGGGCAAGCAGGUCCACUCUGCCGAAACUGCAUCUGUUCACCAUGCUUUUGGCUCCAUCUGUUCGAUAUUCACCAAUGAAGUCAACUUUUCAUCUCUUUUUUCAUUAUAUGUGGAAGUGUACUUAGAUUGGAAUGUGGAUACACAAUACAGAAUGGCCAGCCAGUGCUCGAAUCUCCCUGGCCAAGAUAAUUGGUUCAUGCUCGGACAAAGGACUCACCAGAGACAAAAGGCCAGUCAUCAAAUAAUGCUUGGCUUACUUAUGCUUCUGCUGCACCAUUAAGUGUAUGAAUUUGUAUAUGAAACGGAAUCCCAAACUAGCUGUGUGCCCCGAGAUAAGUGAUCUCAUCUCUCUGCACCUGAGUUUUGUCUUCUGAAGAACAAAAACAACAAACAACAAACAAAAAACGAGGUUGGCAUCUCAUGGAUCUGGGACCUCAAUGUGGGGGGAAUUAGGAAAUAACGUCCUGGACACUUGUUAUGCAUCCACGAAGUGUUCAGCGCUGUGCUGAGAAAUGGUGAAACAAAAAGGAAGAAGAUUCAGCCUUUAGAGGAUUUCCGGUGCCUGCAGGGAGAGAAUUGGAGCCAAGGACCAAAUGUGGAUGAAGACCCUACGUGCAUCACAUUCCAAAGAAACUCUUGAGCUAAAGAGGCCAGCUCUGGUCUCCCUGGGGUUUAUUUGGAGGGGCCAGAGCUAUGCUGGCCCUACCUCCACCUACCCCUGUCAGGAGAGGAGAACGGGAAGGUAGAGAAGUCUGAGUGAAUGGCACAUGAUUCCAGAGGCAGAGGCAGAGGACGAGGAGAUCAGAGAAAACAGGAAGGCAUUUUGCAGGAUUUGCAAUAGCUCCGUUCAGAAGCAAUGAAUGUCUGAGACAGAGCGUGACAAUGAGGAGGAAAUCAGCACUAGCCCAGAGUUAUCUGAAGGUCACUGGACAGUAGUAAGAGGUGUGUGAGAAGGAGCAGUCACAUGUGACUUCUAGCUCGACCUGUUAAGAUAAGACGUCCAGGGAGACUGGGGACGUCAUAUGUAUUUGACAAAGCCUCUAUCAGCCUGGUUCUCUGAGUGACUAUGUAGGGAAGAACAUUCCUCCCUAUCAUCACCAACCCUGAUGACGUGAAAUUGUCCCGGGCUGCCAGGAUAAAGCCUUCAAGAUCCUAUCCAUGGCAGCAUUUGUUAUCUCUUAUCUUUUUGACGAUGGCGAUUCUAACAGGUGUGAAGCGAUACCUCAUUGUGGUGAGAUGGUAUUGCAAUAUUAAAAAAAAAUUUUUUAAUGUCAUCCCUUGACAGUUUCCUAUCAACGGGAUUACCACUUGGGUGCUGCAGGCAUGGCAUUUCCUCAUUGAGAAGUGGAGUCUAUUUCUCUCUCCUUUAAUCUGGAAUGAUCUUAGUGACUUGGAUUGAUACUGUUAUAUUGCAAAAGAGAUGUUCUGGAACUUUCAAUAGCAUCUUUGGAGAAAUCCAGUGACCAGGGAAGAAGUCCAGCAAUCCUGCGGCUACCCUGUUGUGAGAUGCCAUAGUGUUGUGAAGAUAUCUUAAAGGUGAGGUUGAGAUGCCAUGGAGAUGGAGAUAGAAACAAAAGGUAGGGAGAGAGAGAGAGAGAGAGACAGGGAGAGACCAGGUAGCACCAUGGCUCCAGGUGUGUGAGUGAAGAAGCCACCUUGGAAGUGGUUCACCAGGCCCAGCUGCUCCAGCUGAUGCCUAACACACAAAAGCAUCUUGUUUACAUCUUUAUAUAGCCCCCUACCCUUGACUCUAGGUUGAUCUGUAACUCAUUCUUGGUCAAUAAAAUGUGGCAGAAGUGAUACUGUAUACUUUCUGAGGCUAGAAGCCUUGAAGCUUUUGCCUGAGCCUCUUGUCAUGCUUAGUUGUCUUCCUCUGCCUCUUGAAGUCCAGCUGCCAUGAUAUGGGAAGCCCAAGCCCUAUGGAGGCCAUGCGUAGGCACUCUGGCUUAAAGUUCCAGGUAAGCUUCCAGCAGAUAGCCAGCAUCAACUGCCAGCCACAUGAGUGGGUCGGUGUUGGUCUUUAGCCCAGUCAAGUUUCGGAUGGCUACAUACCCAUCUGAUAUGAAAGAUCUCAACUGAGAAUUGCUUAGCUUGGUCCAGUUAGCACCAGAAGUUCAAAAGGUAAUAAUUAAUUGUUGUUUUAAACCACCACAUUUUGGGGCUUUGUAUUUGCAGCAAUAGAUAACUGGAAGAUAAACCAUUGCAACUAGUGUUUAACUUGGAAAAACGCAGUGUAGAACCUAAUGUAUCAGAAGAAAAACAUUUGAAAAAUUAAAAUGUAGCAUGCCAAGGGGUGC